This 141-nucleotide ribosomal RNA is filed under the name uncultured eukaryote. Its description in RNAcentral is "partial 18S ribosomal RNA". It matches the Rfam family "Eukaryotic small subunit ribosomal RNA", at positions 1299 to 1458 of the family's 1831-position model. The record is from RNAcentral.
UGGUGGAGUGAUUUGUCUGGUUAAUUCCGUUAACGAACGAGACCUCAACCUGCUAAAUAGUUCGGGGAAUCCAUGUGAUUCCUACGUAACUUCUUAGAGGGACUAUUGGUGAUUAGCCAUUGGAAGUUUGAGGCAAUAACA